This 389-nucleotide ribosomal RNA is filed under the name uncultured bacterium. RNAcentral's name for it is "bacterial SSU rRNA". It matches the Rfam family "Bacterial small subunit ribosomal RNA", at positions 30 to 417 of the family's 1533-position model. The record is from RNAcentral.
AUUGAACGCUGGCGGCAUGCCUUACACAUGCAAGUCGAACGGCAGCACGGGACCUUGCUCCUGGUGGCGAGUGGCGAACGGGUGAGUAAUACAUCGGAACGUACCCUGAAGUGGGGGAUAACGUAGCGAAAGUUACGCUAAUACCGCAUAUUCUGUGAGCAGGAAAGAGGGGGAUCGCAAGACCUCUUGCUUUAGGAGCGGCCGAUGUCGGAUUAGCUAGUUGGUGAGGUAAAGGCUCACCAAGGCGACGAUCCGUAGCGGGUCUGAGAGGAUGAUCCGCCACACUGGGACUGAGACACGGCCCAGACUCCUACGGGAGGCAGCAGUGGGGAAUUUUGGACAAUGGGCGCAAGCCUGAUCCAGCCAUGCCGCGUGAGUGAAGAAGGCCU